This 2215-nucleotide ribosomal RNA is filed under the name human gut metagenome. RNAcentral's name for it is "bacterial LSU rRNA". It matches the Rfam family "Bacterial large subunit ribosomal RNA", at positions 216 to 2441 of the family's 2925-position model. The record is from RNAcentral.
GAAGAAAACAAACGUGAUUCCCCCAGUAGCGGCGAGCGACCGGGGAUAAGCCCAAACCGUUAUUGUUUCGGCAGUAGCGGGGUAGUAGGACUGCGACAUUGAUGAAAUAAAUGAAAUGGAACACUUUGGAAAAUGUGAUCACAGAGGGUGAUAAUCCCGUACAUGUAAGUUUAUGAAUCAUAGCAGACUCCUGAGUAAGUCGGGACACGUGUAAUCCUGACCGAAUCCGCCGGGACCAUCCGGCAAGGCUAAAUACUCCUGAGAGACCGAUAGUGAACCAGUACCGUGAGGGAAAGGUGAAAAGCACUUCGAACAGAAGAGUGAAAUAGUCCCUGAACCCAUACGCCUACAAGCUGUCGGAGCCGCUUCGUGCGGUGACGGCGUGCCUUUUGCAUAAUGAGCCUACGAGUUACUCAUCACCAGCGAGGUUAAGUACUUCAGGUACGUAAGCCGAAGCGAAAGCGAGUCUGAAUAGGGCGUCAAGUUGGUGGUGGUAGACGCGAAACCUUAGUGAUCUACCCAUGGGCAGGGUGAAGGUUUGGUAACACAAACUGGAGGCCCGAACCGGUAAACGUUGAAAAGUUUUCGGAUGACCUGUGGGUAGGGGUGAAAGGCCAAUCAAACUGGGAAAUAGCUCGUACUCUCCGAAAUGCAUUUAGGUGCAGCCUCUGUUGUUUUGUUCUAGAGGUAGAGCUACUGAUUGGAUGCGAGGGCUUCACCGCCUAUCAAAUCCGGCCAAACUCCGAAUGCUAGAACAUGAAGACAGGGAGUGAGCCAGCGGGUGCUAAGGUCCGUUGACGAAAGAGGGAGAACUCAGACCAUCAGCUAAGGUCCCCAAUUAUAUGCUAAGUUGGAAUAAAAACGGGGUGGGACUGCUUAGACAGCUAGGAUGUUGGCUUGGAAGCAGCCAUUCAUUUAAAGAGUGCGUAACAGCUCACUAGUCGAGCGGUCCUGCAUGGAUAAUACGCGGGCAUAAGCAUAUAACCGAAGCUAUGGGAUUGUAGAUGAUACAAUCGGUAGGAGAGCAUUCCAUUCAGCGUAGAAGCAGUAUCGUGAGGUAUUGUGGAGCGGAUGGAAAAGCAAAUGUAGGCAUAAGUAACGAUAAUGCGGGUGAGAACCCCGCACGCCGAAAGAUCAAGGAUUCCCCGGCAAUGUCAAUCAUCCGGGGGUAAGUCGGAUCCUAAGGGUAAGCCGAGUGGCGAUCCCGAUGGCAAACAGGUUAAUAUUCCUGUACUGAUCAUAACUGCGAUGCAGCGACGCAGAGGUGACACUGCUGCGUACUGACGGAAUAGUACGUUGAAACCCGUAUUCUUUGAUACCGGUAGUGAAGCACGCCGGUAGAGAUGAAAGGUGAUAGUACCGCAAUGCUUCGGUUGCGCGGAUAAUGCAGGUAAGCUGACUGCCAAGAAAACCUGCUAAGCUUCAGGUAAUGAUCAUCCGUACUGUAAACGGACACACGUGAUCAGGUAGAAAAUACUAAGGCGCUCGAGAGAUUCAUGGUUAAGGAACUAGGCAAAAUGGUCCUGUAACUUCGGGAUAAAGGACGCUCUUGUGAAAGAGCCGCAGAUAAUAGGCCCAGGCGACUGUUUACCAAAAACACAUGGCUAUGCUAAUUCGCAAGAAGAUGUAUAUGGCCUGACACCUGCCCGGUGCCGGAAGGUUAAGAGGAGAGCUCAGAGGUAACUCGAAGGUUUGAAUUGAAGCCCCGGUAAACGGCGGCCGUAACUAUAACGGUCCUAAGGUAGCGAAAUUCCUUGUCGGGUAAGUUCCGACCUGCACGAAUGGUGUAACGAUCUGGGUACUGUCUCAACCAUGAGCUCGGUGAAAUUGUAGUUCCGGUGAAGAUGCCGGAUACCCGCAACGGGACGGAAAGACCCCGUGAACCUUUACUGCAGCUUUGCAUUGAUUUUGGGUAACAGAUGUGUAGGAUAGGUCGGAGGCUUUGAUGCUGCGUCGUCAGGCGUAGAGUAGCCGUCGUUGAAAUACGACCCUUUUGUUAUCUGAGGUCUAAUCCCGUUAGGGAGACAUUGCAUGGUGGGUAGUUUGACUGGGGUGGUCGCCUCCAAAAGUGUAACGGAGGCUUCUCAAGGUACCCUCAAGGCGUUUGGUAAUCGUCUGCAGAGUGCAAUGGCAUAAGGGUGCUUGACUGUGAGACCGACACGUCGAUCAGGUUGGAAACAAGAGCAUAGUGAUCCGGUGGUUCCGCAUGGAAGGG